Molecule: ribosomal RNA, 503 nt
Filed under: uncultured bacterium
Lineage: Bacteria
Description: bacterial SSU rRNA
Rfam family: Bacterial small subunit ribosomal RNA
Source: RNAcentral
AUUGAACGCUGGCGGCAUGCCUAAUACAUGCAAGUCGAACGGUAACAGGACGCUGUGAUCCCUUCGGGGUGAACUUGUCGCUGACGAGUGGCGGACGGGUGAGUAAUGCUUGGGAAUCUGCCCAGUAGUGGGGGACAACACGGGGAAACUCGUGCUAAUACCGCAUACGUCCUACGGGAGAAAGUGGGGGAUCUUCGGACCUCACGCUAUUGGAUGAGCCCAAGUCGGAUUAGCUUGUUGGUAGGGUAACGGCCUACCAAGGCGACGAUCCGUAGCUGGUCUGAGAGGACGAUCAGCCACACUGGGACUGAGACACGGCCCAGACUCCUACGGGAGGCAGCAGUAGGGAAUAUUGGACAAUGGGGGCAACCCUGAUCCAGCAAUGCCGCGUGUGUGAAGAAGGCCUGCGGGUUGUAAAGCACUUUCAGUAGAGAAGAAAAGCCUAGGGUUAAUACCCCUGAGUCUUGACGUAACCUACAGAAGAAGCACCGGCUAACUCCGUG